GAGGAAGUCCCAACAAUUGCAAGUUAGUGCACUGGGUUCUUUCAGCCAUAGUUGGAUCAAAUAUGGACAUUUUUAAGGGUUCAAAUUCAAGGAGCUUUCAAGGACUUUCCAGGUCCAAUACCCUCAAAUUCAUGGACUAAAUGUGGGGACACAUUACAAGACACAGACAGCCAGGCAGCUCUUUGGGUUGGAACAAGGACAUGGAGUUAAGGGAGCCCCUGGAAACCAGAUACAGAGAAGAUCAAACACUGGCACUGGAUCACAUGUCUCUCCUGAGCCGGGCGGAGCAUGACGCAAACAUGGCACACAGAGACAGAGGUUUUUCCCAUAAGUCUCCCUUCCUUUGGGCUCUGUCAGCUAUGGGAUAUCUGGCAGUCACGUGAUUGGGAGAGAACCACACCACUGAUACAGCCAGGUUUAAGAUAGCCAGCAGCAGUGGAUGAAGCACUGGGGAAAAAGUGCACCUCUCUAAACUACUUUUAUAAGAACUAUUGCUGUGUUUGGAAAAAUCCGAUAUAAAAUAUCCUAUAAAAUGUUAUAGGUACUAAUCAUACAAAAAAGAUAUUUGGCAGAUCAGACAGCUGGACAGUUACGU
Non-coding RNA from Paramisgurnus dabryanus, 595 nucleotides. NCBI's taxonomy places the organism in Eukaryota, Metazoa, Chordata, Actinopteri, Cypriniformes, Cobitidae. The record is from RefSeq and is a predicted model, not a curated record.